This 399-nucleotide ribosomal RNA is filed under the name uncultured bacterium. RNAcentral's name for it is "bacterial SSU rRNA". It matches the Rfam family "Bacterial small subunit ribosomal RNA", at positions 109 to 507 of the family's 1533-position model. The record is from RNAcentral.
AGUAAUGUAUCGGAACGACCUUUCAGUGGGGAGUAACGUAGCGAAGUUACGCUAAUACCGCAUAUUCUGUGAGCAGGAAGCAGGGGAUCGCAAGACCUUGCGCUGAUUGAGCGGCCGAUAUCAGAUUAGCUAGUUGGUGAGGUAAAGGCUCACCAAGGCGACGAUCUGUAGCGGGUCUGAGAGGAUGAUCCGCCACGCUGGAACUGAGACACGGUCCAGACUCCUACGGGAGGCAGCAGUGGGGAAUUUUGGACAAUGGGGGCAACCCUGAUCCAGCCAUGCCGCGUGAGUGAAGAAGGCCUUCGGGUUGUAAAGCUCUUUCGGCCGGGAAGAAAUCGUAUGGGUUAAUACCCUGUGCGGAUGACGGUACCGGCAUAAGAAGCACCGGCUAACUACGUG